UGGGGAAUAUUGCACAAUGGGCGCAAGCCUGAUGCAGCCAUGCCGAGUGUAUGAAGAAGGCCUUCGGGUUGUAAAGUACUUUCAGCGGGGAGGAAGGGAGUAAAGUUAAUACCUUUGCUCAUUGACGUUACCCGCAGAAGAAGCACCGGCUAACUCCGUGCCAGCAGCCGCGGUAAUACGGAGGGUGCAAGCGUUAAUCGGAAUUACUGGGCGUAAAGCGCACGCAGGCGGUUUGUUAAGUCAGAUGUGAAAUCCCCGGGCUCAACCUGGGAACUGCAUCUGAUACUGGCAAGCUUGAGUCUCGUAGAGGGGGGUAGAAUUCCAGGUGUAGCGGUGAAAUGCGUAGAGAUCUGGAGGAAUACCGGUGGCGAAGGCGGCCCCCUGGACGAAGACUGACGCUCAGGUGCGAAAGCGUGGGGAGCAAACAGG
Molecule: ribosomal RNA, 429 nt
Filed under: Chloroflexota bacterium
Lineage: Bacteria; Bacillati; Chloroflexota
Description: Chloroflexi bacterium partial 16S ribosomal RNA
Rfam family: Bacterial small subunit ribosomal RNA
Source: RNAcentral